This is a long non-coding RNA of Gallus gallus (chicken), 2276 nucleotides long. Lineage: Eukaryota; Metazoa; Chordata; Aves; Galliformes; Phasianidae. The record is from Ensembl.
CGCCCGCGGACAAUGGCAGCCGUCCGCGCUCCGGCGGGUAAAGGAGGGGAGAGGAAAGGGGGGGGAAAAAAAGUCCUUCGUCCUCAGCGGGAGAGACUUUAAGCGCGGCCCCUCGCUGCCCCGGGGCGAGUGUCGGUGGCCCACGCUCACCCAAACGCGAGGGCAGCCUUACCGCCUCCCUUUGCCCCUGGAAAAGAAAAAAAAGAGGAAAAAAAAAAAAAAGAAAAGAAAACGCCGCGUGACACCGCUGCACAAACGCACGGCAUCGGCUGUGUCUCACACGGCGGGGAGAUGAAGAUGCAGUCUUUUCCGUGUGGGGGGGCUGAAUAGGAGAGUUAAAGAUUGUUAAGGGCUGAAGGGUGACCGUUGACCGUUGCCCUUCAAAGUCCGCGUGAAUGCCGUGGUGCAGAAAUCCCACCUUGGCAGAAGGGCUUUGUGUUUUUACAGGAGGCAGUGAUGGCAAGCUGCACCCAGCGGGGGUAACGAUUGUUAUUUCUGAGGGAUGCGCAGCCCUAAGCGUUUGGUGGUCAUCCAGGGGUUACGCGUUGUCGCUGCUGAAAAAAAGAAACAACAAGAUCACGAGGCUGAAAGAGGUCAGGAGGUCAUCUAUGUCCUCCCCCUCCUUGAAAGCAGGACGCUCAACGCCUAUCUCACUGCUAAGACAUUGGUCUAACCUGUUCUUAAUGACCUGUGAUGAAGACAUCACAGCCUCCCAGGUCCCUGGGCCUGUGGGCUUUCUCCACUUGGUGAAGGAGAAAGUGUUUUUGACACUGAACAUCCUGCUUUGUCUGAGACCUUACGCUACUCCAUUUGCCAUGCAUACCAUGUGUCUCUGUGCAUCCCAGUGUGCCCAUCCCCAACAAGAUGGCAUUUCUCUUGUCAGAGGUCAGACCUGCCACUCUAACUUAAGGUUUUCAGACGCGCAUGUUUCAUUUCAUUAGAAACUGCACCAGAAACCACAUCUCCGAGGAUGAAAUGCCACCACCACCAGCAAGAGGAAAAAUAAACAAAUAAUCACUGUGCAGAAAGCAGAGCGCAGUACAGGAGAGCACAUUCUCUUUGGGGGAUCAGUGAGAGAAUUUUGAUUUCCUAUGAAAAAGACUCGAUAGGAGUAAACGAAUGGAGAACAUUUCAAUCACCCUGAUAUUCACUGGAUAAGCAACACUACCAGGCACACACAGUCCAGAAGGUUUCUGCAGUGCGUGGGAGAUUUCUGAUGCAGAUGUAAAAGGAGCCAAUGAGGAGAGGUGUACUGCUGGACCUUGUUCUUACAAACAAGGAAGGACUGGUUGGGAAAGUGAAGGCUGGGGGCAGCCCUGGAUGCAGCAACCAUGAGAUGGUGGAUUCCAGGAUCUUACAUGGAAGAAACAAGCCAAUUGGUAGGACUGAAACCCUGGACUUCAGGAGAGCCAACUUUGACCUCUUUAAGGACCUACUUGGAGAUAUCCUUUGGAUACUCGUGAUCCCAGACCUUUGACACUUCCAGUGUUUGCUAUCGAAACACUGCAAAAGUAAGGCAUUCUGACCAGCUUAGGACUUCUUCCUGAUUUUCAUCAUUCAAGUAUCCGAUCCUGUUUUUCAGGUCUGAAUGCAACCACAAAGGAGAGCGCCCGACCUCCCACCUUCUCAGCAUAAGCACCGUGUGCCUCACGACCCAUUUCCAAAUGCAUUUACAUUGACGCAGGGCCACGCAGAUGGACUCGCUGCACUUCUGCCCUGGUGGUCAGUGCAGCGCUGCUGAGCUGGGAGCAGGCCGGGCGGACACUGAACCCGCCCACGGCCGCUUAAUGAAUUCCAAAUCAGAGCAACGCUCACAGCUAAUAAUGUGACCCCACUCAUCUGCCAUCCCCCACCAGGACUACCCAAAUCCAGAUGUUAGGGACAAUUUGCCCAGAAUCCACCAAAGUCCCAAGACAUUCCUGAAGGAAAGCCAUUUUAAUUAUUCUUCCAGGGCUAAAUUAUCCUGCUCUGCAGUGCUUUCCAGCAGAUGAGGGUAAAACAACCCAGAAGAUAACAACGAAAAAGUACACAUUGCAAAUAGACUUCCAAAAUCACCCCAGAACUGCCCAGAACUACAUGAAAGUGGGCACAUGCUAAAGGAAAGAGACCUCUCUGUAUUACUGAAGACAAAAACUACAAGCUGCCAAGUUUAAUAUAUUUUUUCACUGAAAUUACUUUAACUGCAGAGUUCUUCUACAGCAUCUAAGGGGGAUGUCCACAGGCAAUGCUCCUGAAAAGUACGGCUCUCCUAUCAGCAGAUAAAAACAAACCUUUUU